ACGCACGCUGGCGGCGUGCUUAACCCAUGCAAGUCGUACGGAAAGGCCCUGCUUUUGUGGGGUGCUCGAGUGGCGAACGGGUGAGUAACACGUGAGUAACCUGCCCUUGACUUUGGGAUAACUUCAGGAAACUGGGGCUAAUACCGGAUAGGAGCUCCUGCUGCAUGGUGGGGGUUGGAAAGUUUCGGCGGCUGGGGAUGGACUCGCGGCUUAUCAGCUUGUUGGUGGGGUAGUGGCUUACCAAGGCUUUGCCGGGUAGCCGGCCUGAGAGGGUGAACGGCGACAUUGGGACUGAGAUACGGCCCAGACUCCUACGGGAGGCAGCAGUGGGGAAUAUUGCACAAUGGGCGGAAGCCUGAUGCAGCAACGCCGCGUGCGGGAUGAAGGCCUUCGGGUUGUAAACCGCUUUCGCCUGUGACGAAGCGUGAGUGACGGUAAUGGGUAAAGAAGCACCGGCUAACUACGUG
Molecule: ribosomal RNA, 467 nt
Filed under: uncultured bacterium
Lineage: Bacteria
Description: partial 16S ribosomal RNA
Rfam family: Bacterial small subunit ribosomal RNA
Source: RNAcentral